AGAGAAAAUCUCUUCAUGAGAAUAAAUUGAAGAGACUGCAGGAGAAAGUGGAAGUCUUGGAGGCAAAGAAAGAAGAAUUAGAGACAGAAAACCAGGUGUUAAAUAGACAAAAUGUUCCAUUUGAAGAAUAUACAAGGCUUCAGAAACGACUAAAGGACAUACAGAGAAGACAUAAUGAAUUUCGAAGUCUAAUCUUGGUUCCUAACAUGCCUCCCGCAGCAUCGGUCAAUCCUGCUAACUUCCAGUCCUCAGCUAUAGUUCCUGGAGUGGAACUCUCCUUUCCCCCUCAUCUGCAGAACAGCAUCAAAGAGAACUCUCUCUCCUUCGCAAAAGACUGGAAGAGCUAGAAACUACACAAAGAAAACAACUAGAGGAACUUGGAUCUCCCGGGGAGUGAUGCUGGAAGAAAGGCAAAGCCAGAAACUCAAUAAAGUAUGACGUUUAACGUGUGGCCUCCAGGUGCUUUCUUACUGUUUGCCAAAAUUGAGCUGCCUCAAGACAAGGUACUAGCUAUGCGCUGCACUGCAAGGGCUCCAAGAUUUUAGGAUAAUACUAAGAAAAAUGAAGUAUUCAUAUAUUUAGGACAUGCAUUGAUAAUCUUUUGACAAUGCAAAAAUAAAAGGAACUAGUUAAUU
Molecule: long non-coding RNA, 635 nt
Filed under: Rattus norvegicus (Norway rat)
Lineage: Eukaryota; Metazoa; Chordata; Mammalia; Rodentia; Muridae
Description: long non-coding RNA NONRATT025745
Source: RNAcentral